Molecule: ribosomal RNA, 494 nt
Filed under: uncultured soil bacterium
Lineage: Bacteria
Description: bacterial SSU rRNA
Rfam family: Bacterial small subunit ribosomal RNA
Source: RNAcentral
AGGACGAACGCUGGCGGCGUGCCUAAUGCAUGCAAGUCGAGCGACGAAUAGGUGCGGGUAACCAAGCCUAUUACGUAGCGGCGAACGGGUGAGUAACACGUGAGCAACCUGCCCCGAAGACCGGGAUAGCCCAGGGAAACUUGGAUUAAUACCGGAUAUCCUCCUUUGACCACAUGGUCGUUGGAAGAAAUGCUUUUACGCUUCGGGAUGGGCUCGCGGCCUAUCAGCUUGUUGGUGGGUAACGGCCUACCAAGGCGUCGACGGGUAGCUGGUCUGAGAGGACGAUCAGCCACACUGGGACUGAGACACGGCCCAGACCUCCUACGGGAGGCAGCAGGUGGGAAUCUUGCGCAAUGGGGACGAAAGCCUGACGCAGCCAUGCCGCGUGAAUGAUGAAGGUCUUAGGAUUGUAAAGUUCUUCGCUCGUGACGAUGAUGACGGUAACGAGAGAAGAACGCCCGGCUAACGUCGUGCAGCAGCCGCGGUAAUCGUGA